AAUAUUGUCAUCACCUAAGAAAGAAACCCCAUACUCUUUAACUAUUAUCUCCCAUCUCCCAGCCCCCUUCCUCCCCAACCAACCUCAUUUUUAGUUUUUAUUUGUUUUGAUUGGUGAACCUGGGGCAUCCCUCGUAGGCAGGGCCAGAUAAAGCAGGUUGUACCUUGACCCAAGAAAUAAAAACAGCUGGGUUCCAAAAGGCACAUAGAUUCCCAGUUCACAGGAAUGGAAACUUGCCUCCUGCCUGCCCCCUUACCUCCCAGCGCGCCUGCCCCCUUACCUCCCAGCGCGCCUGCCCCCUUACCUCCCAGCGCGCCUGCCCCCUUACCUCGCAGCGCGCCUGCCCCCUUACCUCGCAGCGCUCCUGCCCCCUUACCUCCCAGCGCGCCUGCCCCCUUACCUCGCAGCGCGCCUGCCCCCUUACCUCGCAGCGCGCCUGCCCCCUUACCUCCCAGCGCGCCUGCCCCCUUACCUCGCAGCGCGCCUGCCCCCUUACCUCCCAGCGCGCCUGCCCCCUUACCUCGCAGCGCGCCUGCCCCCUUACCUCGCAGCGUGCCUGCCCCCUUACCUCCCAGCGUGCCUGCCCAAGGCAGCAGCAGCCUCCUCUUGACUUUUUAAGAAAUGAACAUAGGUUUAAGGUAUUUUCAGUACCAGGCUCUGUGCUAGGUACUUUCACAUUAUUUUCUCUCCAAAUCUUCCCAACAAUCCUUUCAAGUAGCCAUUGGUCCCACUUCACCAAUGACCCAACAGAAACUCAGGGAGGUUCCGUAUCUUGCUCAAGGUCACACAGCUGGAUCAGAACCCAGCUGUCUGUUAGGCAGGUUCACUGCACACUAGUUACCAACUUGUCAGAGUCCAGUGAGGCAAACACCCACAAGUUACAUAACGCUGAGUCCAGCGAGGCAAACACAAGUGACAUGCAACGUGUUUAUUACCUAUAGGUAGGCACUAAGGGACAACAGAAGGCUGGGAUUCAUUUGGAGCUGGACCCCUACGGCUCAGGAAAGCUGCUGAGGCAGCUGGGGGAUGGACCGUUGUCUGUGCAUGCCUGACUUUUUUUUUUGUUGUUGGUUUGUUGUGAGAUGGAGUCUCGCUCUUUCACCCGGGCUGGAGUGCAGUGGUGUGAACCCUGGGAUUCAAGCAAUUUUCCUGCCUCAGCCUCCCUGGUAGCUGGGAUUACAGGCGUGCACUACCACGUCCAGCUAUUUUUUUUUUUUUUAGUAGAAACAGUUUCGCCAUGUUGGCCAGGCUGGUCUUGAACUUCUGACCUCAGGUGAUCCACCCGCCUCGGCCUCCCAAAGUGUUGUGAUAACAGGCAUGGGCCACCACGCCCAGCCAGCCAGACUUGUACUGAAGCUGAGGGACCCCAGAAACCAGCCCGCCCUGUUUUUCGUUUGUUUGUUUGUUUGUUUGAUACAGAGUCUCACUCUGUCUCCCAGGCUGGAGUGCAGUGUCGCCAUCUGGGCUCACUGCAACUUCCGCCUCCCAGGUUCAAGCAAUUCUCCUGCCUCAGCCUCCCGGGUAGCUGGGACUACUGGCACGCACCACCACACCUGGCUAGUUUUUUGUAUUUUUAGUAAAAACGGGGUUUCACCGUGUUAGCCAGGAUGGUCUCAAUCUCCUGACCUUAUGAUCCGCCCGCAUCGGCCUCCCAAAGUGCUGGGAUUACAGGAGUAAGCCACCGCGCCCGGCUUCUGCCCUGGGCUUUAUACCCUGGGGCCAUGUGACAUGUUGGGCUGAAGUGUUGAAGGACAUGCUUUUUCUAGGGGGACUGGAACAGAGCAUGGCUGUGCUGGCCAGUCCUUCCUUCCCUCAGGAUGUUGCAUUCUCUGCACACUCUACAGUUUUAUUUAUUUAUUUAUUGAGACAGUCUUGCUCCAUCACCCAGGCUGGAGUGCAGUGGCACUGUCUCAGCUCACUGCAACCUCCGCCUCCCAGGUUCGAGGGAUUCUCCCUGCUCAGCCUCCCGUGUAGCUGGGAUUACAGGUGCCCACCACCACGCUUGGAUAAUUUUUGUAUUUUUGGUAAAGACGGGGUUUCAGCAUGUUGGCUAGGCUGGUCUUGAACUUCUGAUCUCAAGUGAUCUGCCCGCCUCGGCCUCCCAAAGUGCUGGGAUUACAGGCGUCUACAGUUAUUCUUGAGAACUACAAGCAAGAAAGGAGGGGAGAACCAGGUCAGUUCAAGGCCACUGGGAGAACUGUCCUGCACCGCCUGCCUCUGAAGCCCAUGAUGUUUCUGCUUUGUGGGACAGUUGUUCAGGUGCCUGCUUCCCCAGGCCUUCCCCUGCGCCUUCCCCCUCUCUCCUACACACACCAUCUGACUGUCCUUCCAGCACGUACACCUCCAGAUGCUUGGGUUGGCCUGACCCAAAACAGUCUACUCUCCCGGCCAAGCCAAUUGCCCCUGGGAUUUUCUGCUCCUCCAAGAUCCCGUGCAUAGCCCUGGUGGUGGCUCAUGCCCUUAAUCCUUAGUUACUCUAGAUGCUGAGGCAGGAGGAUCGCUUGAGGCCGAGGAGUUCAAGACCUCCCCUCUCCCAAAUAUUUGUAAAUGAAAUUAAAAGAAAGAUCCAGCCC
This 2573-nucleotide long non-coding RNA is filed under the name Homo sapiens (human). RNAcentral describes it as "novel transcript". Lineage: Eukaryota; Metazoa; Chordata; Mammalia; Primates; Hominidae. The record is from RNAcentral.